This 523-nucleotide ribosomal RNA is filed under the name uncultured bacterium. Its description in RNAcentral is "partial 16S ribosomal RNA". It matches the Rfam family "Bacterial small subunit ribosomal RNA", at positions 355 to 868 of the family's 1533-position model. The record is from RNAcentral.
UGGGGAAUAUUGCACAAUGGGCGCAAGCCUGAUGCAGCCAUGCCGCGUGUGUGAAGAAGGCCUUCGGGUUGUAAAGCACUUUCAGCGAGGAGGAAGGUGGUGAGCUUAAUACGCUCAUCAAUUGACGUUACUCGCAGAAGAAGCACCGGCUAACUCCGUGCCAGCAGCCGCGGUAAUACGGAGGGUGCAAGCGUUAAUCGGAAUUACUGGGCGUAAAGCGCACGCAGGCGGUUUGUUAAGUCAGAUGUGAAAUCCCCGGGCUCAACCUGGGAACUGCAUUUGAAACUGGCAAGCUAGAGUCUCGUAGAGGGGGGUAGAAUUCCAGGUGUAGCGGUGAAAUGCGUAGAGAUCUGGAGGAAUACCGGUGGCGAAGGCGGCCCCCUGGACGAAGACUGACGCUCAGGUGCGAAAGCGUGGGGCAGCAAACAGGAUUAGAUACCCUGGUAGUCCACGCUGUAAACGAUGUCGAUUUUGGAGGUUGUGCCCUUGAGGCGUGGCUUCCGGAGCUAACGCGUUAAAUCGA